AGAGUUUGAUCAUGGCUCAGGACGAACGCUGGCGGCGCGCCUAAAACAUGCAAGUCGAGCGAGAACCAGGGCUUCGGCCCUGGGGACAGCGGCGAACGGGUGCGUAACACGUGAGGAACUUGUCCCGGUCUCUGGGAUAACAGUUGGAAACGACUGCUAAUACCGGAUGACGUCGGAGUGUCGCAUGGCACGCUGACGAAAGGGUUACCGGAUCGGGAGAGCCUCGCGGCCUAUCAGCUUGUUGGUGGGGUAAUGGCCUACCAAGGCAUCGACGGGUAGCUGGUCUGAGAGGAUGAUCAGCCACACUGGGACUGAGACACGGCCCAGACUCCUACGGGAGGCAGCAGUGGGGAAUCUUGCACAAUGGGCGAAAGCCUGAUGCAGCAACGCCGCGUGCGGGAAGAAGGCCCUCGGGUUGUAAACCGCUUUCAGAAGGAACGAAACUGACGGUACUUUCAGAAGAAGGUGCGGCCAACUACGUGCCAGCAGCCGCGGUAAUAC
Molecule: ribosomal RNA, 501 nt
Filed under: uncultured bacterium
Lineage: Bacteria
Description: bacterial SSU rRNA
Rfam family: Bacterial small subunit ribosomal RNA
Source: RNAcentral